Molecule: long non-coding RNA, 510 nt
Organism: Puntigrus tetrazona (Sumatra barb)
Lineage: Eukaryota; Metazoa; Chordata; Actinopteri; Cypriniformes; Cyprinidae
Exons: 3
Source: RefSeq, a predicted model, not a curated record
UUCUUUCUUCUUCUUCUUCUUCUUCUAGGGUGUAUUGGUAAACAACGAGCUGCACAUUACCGCCACCAACUGUUUCAUUGGAGUGAAGAACAACAUCAGUCAGCUCUUUCACACAUGAUCAGUUCUCAAAGAUGCAUUUACAUCAUAUACACUGAUCUGACAUUCUACAGAAGAAAUCCACAAACAACGUUGAGUUAUUGUGUUUAUGAUAAUCUGACAUGCACAUUACCCUAGAUAGAAAUAAAAUUAUCCAGCUAACUAUAUAAUUUAAGAUAUAACAUAUAACAUAAGAAGAUGAAAGUCCCUUUCACUUUCACAUACUUGUGAAUCCAGUCUGAUAAACCUAGACCUAAACAUUAACAUACAUGCUAAUAUAAUAAAAACUACACUUCGGAUCAUUCCUCUCCGAGUAGCGGCUAUUUAAAAGUCAGAGUGAAACCUGCUAUUAUAUGGCUCAUGUUAUUAUACCUGUGCAUAAGUGCAAAUUAUUAAACAUUCAAUAGAGCUUUA